This 388-nucleotide ribosomal RNA is filed under the name uncultured bacterium. Its description in RNAcentral is "partial 16S ribosomal RNA". It matches the Rfam family "Bacterial small subunit ribosomal RNA", at positions 523 to 918 of the family's 1533-position model. The record is from RNAcentral.
AUACGUAGGUGGCAAGCGUUAUCCGGAAUUAUUGGGCGUAAAGAGUGAGCAGGCGGUUAAUUAAGUCUGAGGUUAAAGCGUGGGGCUCAACCCCAUAAAGCCUUGGAAACUGAUUGACUAGAGUACGGGAGAAGUGAAGGGAACUCCAUGUGUAGCGGUGAAAUGCGUAGAUAUAUGGAAGAAAACCAGUGGCGAAGGCGCUUCACAAGCCCGAAACUGACGCUCAGUCACGAAAGCGUGGGUAGCAGAUAGGAUUAGAUACCCUAGGAGUACACGCUGUAAACGAUGACAACUAAAUAGUGCCGCGAGGCAGUGUUGAAGCUAACGCAUUAAGUGGUCCGCCUGGGGAGUACGGUCGCAAGACUGAAACUUAAAGGAAUUGACGGGG